AGAGUUUGAUCCUGGCUCAGAACGAACGCUGGCGGCGUGCCUAACACAUGCAAGUCGAACGCGAAAGGGGGCAACCCCCGGUAGCGUGGCAGACGGGUGAGUAACACGUGGGUAACCUACCCGGAGGUGGGGGAUAACCCUUCGAAAGGAGGGUUAAUACCGCAUGAUACCUCGAGGACCUCGGUCCUUGUGAUCAAAGCUGGCCUCUGUUUACAAGCUAGCGCCACCGGAUGGGCCCGCGCCCCAUUAGCUAGUUGGUGAGGUAAUGGCUCACCAAGGCGACGAUGGGUAGCCGGCCUGAGAGGGCGAUCGGCACACUGGAAAUGCGACACGGUCCAGACUCCUACGGGAGGCAGCAGUGAGGAAUAUCGCGCAAUGGGCGAAAGCCUGACGCAGCGACGCCGCGUGGAGGAUGAAGGUCUUCGGAUUGUAAACUCCUGUGGAGUGGGACGAAUGCCGUGAGGGUGAACAAUCCUGCGGUUGACGUACCGCUGAGGAGGCCCG
RNAcentral lists this ribosomal RNA (504 nucleotides) under uncultured soil bacterium. RNAcentral's name for it is "bacterial SSU rRNA". It matches the Rfam family "Bacterial small subunit ribosomal RNA", at positions 8 to 495 of the family's 1533-position model. The record is from RNAcentral.